This is a long non-coding RNA of Triticum urartu, 2324 nucleotides long. RefSeq lists it as uncharacterized. The record is from RefSeq and is a predicted model, not a curated record. NCBI's taxonomy places the organism in Eukaryota, Viridiplantae, Streptophyta, Magnoliopsida, Poales, Poaceae.
CCAGCGAAAAAAAAUCGCCCCACUCUGCGCCCUCGAGCGAGGUUUCGUGCCCUCGAGCGAGAAACAGUCGCCCGACUAUGUUCCCUCCUUCGCCCGCCGCCUCCCGGCCUUCGUCCCUUUCACCGCCGCCGCCCUUCGUCCCUUCGCCGCCCCCGCUCCAUCCAUUCACCGUCGCCCUGGCACUGAUCCGGCGCGUAAAUCGCACAUCACAAGCGCCGGGCUCCACUGAUCCGGCGCCGGUCCAGGAUCCGGCGCCGAUCCUGGUCAGGACCCGUCGCCGGAGACGUCCAGGACAUCCAGGAUCCGGCCACACCUUUCACCAGCCGCCGCCGAGGAGCCCUACGCCGCAGCCAAGAUCCAAGAGGAGCAGCCGCCGCCGAGAUCCGAGAGGAGCAGCCGCCGCCGAGGUUCGAGAGGAGCUGGCCACCACGACCUCCCUCCCCAGCCGGCCGCCACCACCUCCUCCCCCACCCCCUCCCCCACGUGCCUGGCAUAGGUGGGUCUCAGCCUCCCUCCUACCUCCGUCCAAGGCUAGGAACUCCCCUCCCCUCCCGAUCUCCUCCCUUCGUCCAAGGCCACGAGCUCCCCUCCCCUACCCGAUGUGACGAAGAGAGGGCCAGGCCUUGCCACUCCGGUGUUCGAUGUGGCCAGAUCCAGCCGGGGGACUCGCCGCAGAGCCUCCAUGUCGGCGGAGCAGCAGCAGCCCAACAGAAGGAUUUAGAAUUAUGACAAGGAGUCAGGGACACAAUCAGAUUUAUACCAUCCGUUGUGAUGAUACAAGGAAAGUAAACAUAUACGCAUAUUGUGUUCAACGUGAUGAUACAAGCGAAAGCUGGCCUACGCCGCCAACUGAUCUGCGGCAGCGUGAAAGGAGUGUUCAAAAGUAGCAGGAACAGUUGUUCCACUGCUGGUCGGAGGGAGAGCUUGGCAAGGGAGAUAGAGGGAGCUCUACAACCACGAUCUUGGCAUACAACCCGAUGGCAUCAUGCCCACUUAAGCUUCUUCCAUGUUCCAAUUCUUGCAUUUGUUGGUCUUUUACUGUCAGAGCUUACGAAAUCCAUUACAAAUUGAGGUGAGGCCAAGUCGUGAACUUGCUGAGACGUCUUUGCCUUGAAUUCUAAGGCUUGAAUCUAAAUGGAGGCGAGGCCAAGUCUUGAACGAAUACUAAGGUUUGCAUCUUUUAUAAAGCUUGACAGUUACUGUGUAGUUUCAGUUAACAUGAUAGUCACGCAUGGUGAAUCUCUUUUCUUGUCCAGAGAUUUCACGAAUCCAUUAUUGCCUACAGAACAACAUCCUAGGGCCCUCCCAGUUUGAUUCUCUUUAUUUUGCUAUAUCUCAACUAUUACAUACAUCAUUUAUGCUCUGAAGCUAACCAUUGUAUGCUUUGAUUGGUUGGAGCGGCAAGGUUUUCCAGAUCCUGGGAGUCUAUCCCUUCCAACAAUCUGGAGGUAGCAUAGUACAUCCGUACUCGCAGAUGCUUGUUGGCAUGGAACGGACAUUGUGGAUCCAGUGCUGCAACAUCCUUAGUUCCUCCACAUACGACCCUGCGACUAAACCGAGCCGCAUACAUCUACAACGCUUUUGUGUUGCUGACGCCGUCGCGGCCUCCCCGCAUGGGUUCCCAUCCUCUGUUCGCCGGCCCGCGCCCCCACAUCUCCUCACAUUAGUAUGGCUGCCGGCUGCAGAAUCGACGAGGAGGUCGCAGUGGAGGGGUGGUGCUGCAGUGGCUAGCAAGAUAUCAUAAGCUCUCCUUUGUUCUUUUGUGUUUGAAUCAGAUUCAGUGGUUCUUGAUUUUACAGUCAUGUAUCGACCACCAUUGGAGGGAAUAUGAUCUGAGCCGCCGUUAUGUGUUUCUACUAAUUAAAGAACAACUAGGGUCACUUGAAAGAAGAUGAGCUGGAAGAAUUCCACGAUAGACCAUUGCUUCAAGGUUGGGAGCGGCCACAACAUAAUUGACAUCAAAACCAGAUCUGGGUCCUACAUAUCCGGUCUUUCUCGUAUCCUACAAUGGUUUACAGAUGGUGUGGCUCCUUGCACUAAGAUGAUCGAUCAGAGAUCUAGAGUCCUCAAUACAGAUCGAUGACGCCUCCUCAAGAUUCACUUCUUCGUAGCCCCCAACCUUGGUAUAGUAUAAAAACCUACAAAUAAAUCAGAAGAAUAGGCAAUUAUUGGAUGCUUAUGUUUGUUGGUGUAGUAGCCCUCUUAAGUCCAGUCCUAGAGAAGUGUGUCGUAGAAGCAUAUCAGGAAGACAUGGACGUGGAUAUGCAUUAUGGUUGUAUUAUGGACGUGGAUAUGGUCGCUAUAUUAGCUAUAUCUUUUACAUA